This 434-nucleotide ribosomal RNA is filed under the name uncultured bacterium. Its description in RNAcentral is "partial 16S ribosomal RNA". It matches the Rfam family "Bacterial small subunit ribosomal RNA", at positions 29 to 507 of the family's 1533-position model. The record is from RNAcentral.
AGCGAACGCUGGCGGCAGGCCUAACACAUGCAAGUCGAACGAACCUUUCGGGGUUAGUGGCGGACGGGUGAGUAACACGUUGGAACGUGCCUUUAGGUUCGGAAUAACUCAGGGAAACUUGUGCUAAUACCGAAUGUGCCCUUCGGGGGAAAGAUUUAUCGCCUUUAGAUCGGCCCGCGUCUGAUUAGCUAGUUGGUUGAGGUAAUGGCUCACCAAGUCGACGAUCAGUAGCUGGUCUGAGAGGAAGAUCAGCCACAUUUGGACUGAGACACGGCCCAAACUCCUACGGGAGGAAGCAGUGGGGAAUCUUGCGCAAUGGGAGAAAGCCUGAAGAAGCAAUGACGGGUGAAUGAUGAAGGUCUUAGGAUAGUAAAAUUCUUUCACCGGGGACGAUAAUGACGGUACCCGGAGAAGAAGCCCCGGCUAACUUCGUG